RNAcentral lists this ribosomal RNA (456 nucleotides) under Triticum aestivum (bread wheat). RNAcentral describes it as "partial small subunit ribosomal RNA". Lineage: Eukaryota; Viridiplantae; Streptophyta; Magnoliopsida; Poales; Poaceae. The record is from RNAcentral.
AUGAAGGUUAACAUUGACGGUGCUGUUGCUAGAUCCCAUCAUGGCGGAGCAGUCGCAGCCGUGUGUCGGGAUCAGACUGGCCUCUAUCUGGGGUCAUCAGCGGUGGUUUAUCGGGGAAUCAAUGACCCUCUCAUUCUGGAGACAUAUGCAUGCCGAGAAGCCUUGGCAUUAGCAGAUGACCUCGUGACCCGGGAGAUUUGUGUGGCUUCAGAUUGCCAGGAGGCGAUCAACGACAUCAACAGAGGGACAGGAGGUCCAAAUGCUUCUAUAGUACGUGAAAUAACGACCCGGUGUACCAGUUUUAUUUCUAGUUUUCAUAAUGAACGUAGGAACUUUAAUUUCGAGGCUCAUAAUCUCGCCAAGUUUGCUUGUAAUCUUGAAGUAGGUAGACAUCUUUGGUUGGGUAAUCCUCACGACCCAAACCUUGUACCUAUGAUGAUUCCGUUGGAUGAAUAA